GCUUGGGCCGGCCCUGUCUCACGGUUUCAGCUUAUGUUCUACGGUUUCAGCUUCUGUUUUGGCUUCUAACGGCAACCUCUCUGUCUUCCUUCCUUCUCCUCCUCACAUCUAUAUAAAUACUGACAUAAGUGGGGUGGUUCAGUUGAGGUAUCCCUACAUUCCAAUUUCUUUUAUGCUCUGUUCUUUUGCUUGAUGGUUAUGAUUUUCUAGCUAUAUUGAAUCUAUAUAUUAAAUUUGUCACCUUUUACUAUUUCGUGCUAUGCUCUAUUCUCUCUCUCUUUUUUUUCUUUUUUUUUUUCCCUUUCUACGUUUGUUUCUGCCUAGGGUGUUGAAUUUAUUAUUUCUGGGUUACUUAAUUGGAGCACUGCUUCUUUUGGGUAUGUUCAUUAUGAUUUUCUAGCUAUAUUGAAUCUAUAUAUUAAAUCUGUCAUCUUUCUUAUUAAUCUUAUUUUUCCACUUGUUGGUUGGUUUCUCACUGUCCCAAAAAGCCAACAGUAUGAUUUUGAAUUCUAGAUUCUAUAUUUUAUUAUGCGAAUUGGAAGGUUUAACAUCAAUUAAGACAAAUAUCAUGUGCUUUCUUAUGAUAUAAAAGCCAUGAAAGAGUUGGGUUUUUGGCUUUACACUGUUCAUGGAAUAAUUUAAUUAGUUUUGUAGUUUCGUACAUUUGAUAGUCUUCAAUUUGUUUGUUCUGCCUAUUUGUUAUGUUAUUGUAGUUGUUUGUUGUGUUACAGGAACUGUUCAAUGUGUAAAUAAGUUGUAUAUUUCUGUUUUAAACUAUUAAUUUCUUUUAUUUAUAAUAACAAUUGUUAAUAUCUUAGACAUUAUUCAGAAGAAAAAAAUAAAAUCCUAUAUCUUAGACAUUGAUACAUGAGGUGUGGAUUUCUGACUUGGCUUUGAUUGUUUGAACUAUUUGAUGUGCUCAUCCCACACUUAGGAUUGUUCAUUAUCGGUUUUAUGGUACAUUCUAAUGUUGAAAUUUUGUGCACACCAUGUGUUUGACAAAAUGUAUUACUUACUCUUGCAUUAGUUUAUAUCCACUUCAUGGUUUGUGCCUGUUGGUUUUAGUUGCCAUUGGUCAUUGCAUUUUUUCUAACGUGCAUUUAUGCAUACUAUGUCAUCAACAUAAGUGGCAAUUUAGUACUAUGUACACUAGAACUUUCCAUCAUCAAAACCCAAGUUGCAACAUUAGAAAAUUUAAUAAUCUUCUUAAAUAGAAAUGAAUUAUGGACUAUACCUUCUUUAUUAAUAUAUGUAUAUAACUAAACAGCUACAACUUUAAAUUUGAUUGAGAUCAUCUAGAUAGACAUGUUUUAUAAAUUAAUUGUGGUAAAGUGAAACAAAAAAUUAUAUCUAAUUAUAUGUAGCCAUUCUUGGACCUCAUACUCCUAUUAAUGGCCCGCAUCUUUCCUAAAUAUCUAAGUCAAGUCAAUUACAUUUCAAAUGUAUGCAAUUCAUAUCACUUCCUGGUGGUAGUUUCUUAUUUGAUGUGUUGUUUAAGAAAAUAGGGCAAUGAUUAGUGAAGGAAAAGACAAUUCAAUUUUGGUUAGUGGAGAUAGAGGUGCUGGUAAAAUUGAGACAACAAAGAUGCUCAUGAGAUAUCUUGCACACUUAGGCGGGCAAUCUGUAGUAGAAGGACGCACAGUUGGAUUUCAAAUUUUCCUAAAUGAGUAUAUGCUUGGCAUAUUAUCAAAAGAAUUAAGUAAGAAUCAAGGUUAAUGUCCACAUUGACCUUUAAUAUCACAGUCCAACCCAGUUCUUAAGGCCUUUGGCAAUGCCAAAACAAUUCAAAACAACAACUCAAGGUUUUUAUUAGUUUUCCAUGGUUUGCUUUUCAAUGAAGACUAUCUUUACACUUUUAUUUCUUUCAUUUCAAUUAUACAUACUGCAUAUAUAUAUUUCUUGAUUAUGCAUAUGUUUUAGGUAUCUCUGUUUGAACUUCUCAUUAUAAUGUCUCUUUCAUGUCAUAGUGACAUUAUUAUGUAGAUAUAGUUGGGCAGAAAUUAGAACGAAUCUGCUAGAAAGUUCGCCUGUUUGCUAGAUUACCAAUUCAGAAAGAAAAUACCAUUGCUUUUACCUCCUAUGUGCCACACCACUUGAGGGAGGAUUUGAUAUGAUCUGCAGUGGGAGAGACAAGAUUGAAACUCUAGAGCAUUUAAGCAAGCAGAAGAAACAGCAUUGAAGCUUGAUUUGGACAGGCGUUAAUAUGUUUUUACUUAUGUAGUGAGCCACAUCAAGUGCAGUUUCUACUCAUUAUAAUGUCUAUCAAUAUUGUAUGCAUUGUUUGAGGACUCAGGCUAUAUUGUAAAGCUGUUUGUACCAUAAAAUUGUUCAUUUCCCUGCCUUUGUAUUGAUUAAUAACAGCAGCUAGAUAAAUGUGUGGCCUAGCAAAAUGCCACAUGUUGAAGUUAUCAUUUCUUUAAACUUUAAAGUUCACCUGUUAAGGCAACAUGGAGCAGUUGUAAGUUAUUAAUGAAAAGAGAAUAUGGACGCAUUGAUAUAGGUGAGUGAGUAAUGGGGAUACUUUGUCCUGGACAAUGGGAAUUAAAUUGCGGGAACCAUGAUUGGGGCUAGGGGGUUUGGUGUCAUGGUGAAGAACAAGUUUUUAUUUAAUU
Long non-coding RNA from Quercus lobata, 2612 nucleotides. RefSeq lists it as uncharacterized. NCBI's taxonomy places the organism in Eukaryota, Viridiplantae, Streptophyta, Magnoliopsida, Fagales, Fagaceae. The transcript has 3 exons. The record is from RefSeq and is a predicted model, not a curated record.